UGGCUGGUGUUCUAACGUAGACCCGUGAUCCGGGUUGCGGACAGUGUCUGGUGGGUAGUUUGACUGGGGCGGUCUCCUCCCAAAGAGUAACGGAGGAGCACGAAGGUUGGCUAAUCCUGGUCGGACAUCAGGAGGUUAGUGCAAUGGCAUAAGCCAGCUUGACUGCGAGCGUGACGGCGCGAGCAGGUGCGAAAGCAGGUCAUAGUGAUCCGGUGGUUCUGAAUGGAAGGGCCAUCGCUCAACGGAUAAAAGGUACUCCGGGGAUAACAGGCUGAUACCGCCCAAGAGUUCAUAUCGACGGCGGUGUUUGGCACCUCGAUGUCGGCUCAUCACAUCCUGGGGCUGAAGUAGGUCCCAAGGGUAUGGCUGUUCGCCAUUUAAAGUGGUACGCGAGCUGGGUUUAGAACGUCGUGAGACAGUUCGGUCCCUAUCUGCCGUGGGCGCUGGAGAAUUGAGGGGGGCUGCUCCUAGUACGAGAGGACCGGAGUGGACGCAUCACUGGUGUUCGGGUUGUCAUGCCAAUGGCACUGCCCGGUAGCUAAAUGCGGAAGAGAUAAGUGCUGAAAGCAUCUAAGCACGAAACUUGCCCC
Molecule: ribosomal RNA, 590 nt
Filed under: Enterobacter hormaechei
Lineage: Bacteria; Pseudomonadati; Pseudomonadota; Gammaproteobacteria; Enterobacterales; Enterobacteriaceae
Also listed under: 1 other name
Description: partial 23S ribosomal RNA
Rfam family: Bacterial large subunit ribosomal RNA
Source: RNAcentral